GGACGUCGGGCCGGUGGAUCGGUCGACGUAUCGAUAGAAGGCUUCGGGCCGUGGACUCAGGCAUCGGGCCAAGAAGAGCGGGUAUUGUGCCAAGGAUAUCGGAGUUGCGGAGUCAACUGGCCGAUUGGGCAAUAGACUGUAGGAAAGGACGAUGCGCCGAAGAAUCGGACGAAGCGUCGAGGGACCAAUGACAUGCCGGACAACUUGGUUAAUUGCUUAGGAUUAAUUGUCUC
Molecule: long non-coding RNA, 233 nt
Filed under: Musa acuminata (dwarf banana)
Lineage: Eukaryota; Viridiplantae; Streptophyta; Magnoliopsida; Zingiberales; Musaceae
Description: long non-coding RNA (MACU_LNC003415)
Source: RNAcentral